Regulatory RNA element from Psychromonas ingrahamii 37, 164 nucleotides. The record is from Rfam. NCBI's taxonomy places the organism in Bacteria, Pseudomonadati, Pseudomonadota, Gammaproteobacteria, Alteromonadales, Psychromonadaceae.
UAGAUGAUCCCCCUCCAUUUUUCUUGCAAUGAACAAACGCUUUAGCAAGUGAAACCCGGACGGUUUCACCAGGUCUGGCAUGCACAGGGAUGUGCAUUCCGGACUGGUGCGUUAAAAAGCGAUUGGGCAGUGCAAGAUCAAAAAAUGGCUAGGGGUGGCACUCU